GAGUUUGAUCAUGGCUCAGGAUGAACGCUGGCGGCGUGCCUAAUACAUGCAAGUCGAGCGAACAGAUAAGGAGCUUGCUCCUUUGAAGUUAGCGGCGGACGGGUGAGUAACACGUGGGUAACCUACCUAUAAGACUGGGAUAACUUCGGGAAACCGGAGCUAAUACCGGAUAACAUUUAGAACCGCAUGGCUACUAAAGUAGAAAGA
RNAcentral lists this ribosomal RNA (207 nucleotides) under uncultured microorganism. RNAcentral's name for it is "partial 16S ribosomal RNA". It matches the Rfam family "Bacterial small subunit ribosomal RNA", at positions 9 to 209 of the family's 1533-position model. The record is from RNAcentral.